GAGAAGUUCACAAUCCACAAAAAAACAGCAUAAUUAACCAUAUCUUAAAGUGCACAAAGCUAUCAAACAAUUUAGAGAUCAUCAUCUAUCCCCUCAUAAUGGUUGUCGUAAACAGAGUCUUAUUAGCAAAAGCUUGAGUCAGCUAGAGACGAACUCUGUCCCUCUCUUCAAUUCCUGGUGAUGAACACGGCAGUAACACAAAUUUAAUUUCAAC
Molecule: unclassified non-coding RNA, 214 nt
Filed under: Hevea brasiliensis (rubber tree)
Lineage: Eukaryota; Viridiplantae; Streptophyta; Magnoliopsida; Malpighiales; Euphorbiaceae
Source: RNAcentral